This 231-nucleotide ribosomal RNA is filed under the name uncultured bacterium. RNAcentral's name for it is "partial 16S ribosomal RNA". It matches the Rfam family "Bacterial small subunit ribosomal RNA", at positions 15 to 240 of the family's 1533-position model. The record is from RNAcentral.
GAUCUGGCUCAGGAUGAACGCUAGCGGCAGGCUUAACACAUGCAAGUCGAGGGGCAGCAUAAUGGAUAGCAAUAUCUAUGGUGGCGACCGGCGCACGGGUGCGUAACGCGUAUGCAACCUACCUUUAACAGGGGGAUAACACUGAGAAAUUGGUACUAAUACCCCAUAACAUCAUGAGAGGCAUCUUUUAUGGUUGAAAAUUCCGAUGGUUAGAGAUGGGCAUGCGUUGUA